GCAGGGGGUUAGCAAUGAUAGAGGAACGUGAUGGACAUCAUUAUCCAAAGUACAUGUAUGAAGACAUGAAUUGGUGUGAACAUACUUUAUACACAGAGAUAUGAAAAAUUGUUCUGUAUGUGUAAUAAGAAUUGUGAUACAUUCCACUGUCAUGCAUUUAAAAAUAAAACCAAUAAAAAAGUGAAGUAGGACAUUUGCUAUGAAUUGCGGGGUUUUUUUUUUGUGUGUGUGUGUGUGUAUGUGUAUGUGUGUGUGUGUGUGUGUGUGUAAAUCAAACACUCCAGAGUACCUGAAAAAUGUACUUUAAAACCUUUUUUUCCACCUGGUGGAUCCAAAAAAUUGGAAGGUUUUGGUAGAAUUUCCUUCCUUCUUGAUAUAGUUUCAUUAAAAUUGUAAAAAUCAUAUAUAUAUAUAAAAUCCAUUAAGCUUCCAAGAUUUAUGGUUAGCUGUUUUAAUAGCUAAUGAAAUAAUAAGACCUUAUAAUAACCCCUGCCAAUUAAAACUAACAAGUGUUAAACAGAUAGGACAGCAAUAUCUAUAAGAGGAAGGGAUGUGCACUGUUAUUUCAUAUAUUGGUGAGAAGAGUCACCUUUGAUGUAUUUUGUUGGUUUUUAGGAUGUUGCACAAACCCUCUCAAUAAUUCUCAGUUCUAUAAUAGGGUAAAUGUUCAACAUAUUGCUUUAGUGUCUGUGUGUUCCAUUUUUCCUAAAGUUUUUUAUUCCUUUCACACUUAUUUAUGGAGGUAUUGCUGGGUUUAUCCACAUCUCUCCACCCUUUUCCAAUACUGUCUCCAAACUUUUUGCACUCUCUUUUCUAACAAGUAUGUUCUAUUGUGUCACAGUUCCAUUGUUAAGACAGAAUUUACUGUUGAAGUCUCAGAUCAGCAUUUUGCAACUGGUGAUAACUGAUCAUAUGAAGACCUGGAAAGGAAUGUGGUAACAAUGAAAUCCUUUUCCUUCUUGAAAGAAUGGAUUCAAGGGUUCAACCAGCAAUGGUGACAACCAGUUACAAGGCGGAAAUAAUGUUACCAAAAGGUGAUCUCAAGGUUAGUAUUACAUGUGAAUUCCUUUCCUAUGUUGUUGGGUACUGGUCACUUUCUUAUUGUCAUAGGAUAAUUAGAUGUGAUGUCAUAUGUUCCAUUUUGCCAUGUGGGGUUAAAUGGAACUAGGGUUUCUCCCCUCUCUAACAUUCUUUCAGUGUCUGAACUGAACUAGGAUGAGUAUCUAAACAAUUCUGGGCUUCCUCCAUUUGAAAAUGGGAACAGUGGUAUUUAUCUAUUUGGUCUAUUAGGUGAUAAGAACAAAAGGUCAUGGUAGAAAUACCCUUGACAGCCAGCAAGCACUUUAUCAAUGCUAGCCCUCCCCACCUCUACUUAUGGAGAUAGAAAACAGAUAACACAAACUCCCUUUUAAUAUUCAAAUAUAUCCUUCAUUGAUGACUUUAUAAAUAAAACCAUUGAUUUAGAUAAAAGGUGAAUUUUCCAUCCCUUUAUCUUUCAUUCCUUCUUAUAUUUCUCAGAACUUUUAGUUCCUAUUAUAAACUAAGAAUGGGAUGCUGUGGAGACAAAAUGGAGAGACAGGGGUUGAUACUAUUCUCAAGGAGACUAGAGUCUAGAAAGGGAGGCUAUUAAAAAAAAAAGCCAGAGAUAAAGUACUAUCUUAGUUUAUGAGCUGGAAAUUUUAUUUUAACCAAGGUUACCAGAGAAUGUUUCAUGGAAGAGGCAGUGUUUGGGCUUUAAAUAAAGGGUAUAUUUUGUAUAGCAAAGAGGGAAGGGAUAUAAUGAGCCAGGACUGACAUAGGGUGGUUGGGUGGAAAGACUUUGGCCUGGAACUAAAUGAUGAGUUGGCAUGACCCUGGAUGAACCACUUUUCCUCUUUACCUUAAGUCUCUUCAUCUGUGAGAGAUGUAAAAUAAGCUCUGCCCUGUCAGUCUUUCAGAUCCUGGAGAGGAUCAAAUGGGAAUUUGCAGCUAGCAGCUUUUUGGAAACCAUGAAGCCCUCUGGAGCACCACUAUCAUCACCCAGAAAGUGGUUAGAAAUGCAAAACUCCUCCCCACCCCACCCCACCCAGAUCUACUGAAUCUCAGUCUCAGGGUGGGGCCCAGCAAUCUGUUUUUUUUAACAAUCUCUCUGGAUCAUUCUGAUGCAUAGUAAAGUUUGAGAAAAAUGGCUCUGUACUAAGAUGGGGAGUUUGGAAAUUCCAUGCCAGUGAAUGUUUUCAACUGUGGAUGAACUUAGAGACAUAUUUCUAGGAUGUAGAGGCAGGAGUUUGUGCCCAAAAGACUUCAUAAUUUCAGUGUGAACAAGACAAUUGGAAAUAUUAGAAAAAAACCCUGUAUUGCCAAGCCCUAGAGUUGAAGAUUUUUUUUUUCUAAUUCCAGAUAAUUUUGACCUAAUCACCUAUUUGCAAAGCAAUGGAGGCAUUGUUGGCCAGCUCUGGUGAAACCCACUUGUUCUGCAAGAUGAUGUAGAAUGAGAGUGUUUUUGUGGAAAUAUUAGCACACGCUGUCAAAUAUGGCCCUAACUUUCUGCAGAGGGAGCAAGUAUGUCUCUUAAUUUUGAUCAACUGUGGGGAAACAUUGAAUAGAAACUUCCAAACCAAUUUGAGUGGGCAAUUCUUCCUAAUGCUGGCCAGCUGCAAAGCUAUGACUUGAGGUCUGGUAGAUUCACAUUUGCUGAAUGGGAGCAUAUUACCUGGAAGAGAAGUGAAAAGACUCAAAGGAAACAUUUAUCCCAAGGGGAAAAAGAAACAAGUGUGUGAGCUGGGGAGGAGGUGAGCAGGAGGUCAAGGGGAACCAGAGAGGAGCUGUUUAGGCUAUUAGGAUGACAUGUCCAUACAGGUUGGAUGUCAUAUUCUGGUUUUUCCACACCUGGGUGGGGGAGGGGGUUGUCUCUUGUGACCUGCAAUCCACAGGGCAAUCUUUAUCAAACCAGCACAGUUGUUCUCCAUAAGACUAUGCCCCCCGCCCCCUUACCUGUGUUCCAGACCUGUGGAGAAAGCAUGGUAAAAGUAGAAAAAUCACUACUCUCUGCCUUAAUUCUGAACACAUUGUCCACAAACUCUCAGCGUAGGCUUCACUUAGGACCUGUUAGAAAGGCGGAUCCUCAGUCCACCUCAGACCUGCUGAUCAGAAGAUUCACUAGAGUUUGAGAACAACUGCCUUAGAAUGUCAUAUCAGCCCUGGUGGCAUCCCCCAGUAUGAUAAUGUAGCCCAGGGGGAGAGCAGAGAGAAUUUCUUCCUGGUUGUAAUAUGGCUAAUAUGGAUGGCUGACCAGACUGUAACCUGGAACUAGAUCAGUCUUACCUGGGAAGCAGCAGAUGUACUAGAAAUAUAUAUUAGGGGGACCAGGGAUGGAGAAAGCCCAGAGAAGAAAAAGAAAGAAUUAUACAAAUUAGCCUAGAGGAGCCUCCUAAACACUGGCUUUGUGUGUGUGUGUGUGUGUGUGUGUGAGCGCGCGCGCGAGCACACGCUUUACCACUGAACUACAUCCUCAGUCCUUUUUUAAAAUUUUAUUUUCAUACAGGGUCUCACUAAAUUGCCCACGUUGGCCUUGAAAUUGUGAUCCUCCUGAUCCUCCUGCUUCAGCCUGGAGUCACUGGGAUUACAGGUGUGUGCCACCACACCUGCUCCUGAACUAUUAAUAGGAAUAGUUGUAGGAAAUGUAAGGAAAGCCAGAAAUUCAACAAUUGUUGGGUGAGAAUAAAACUAGAGAUCUACUCUACUGUUGCUGUUACCAUGACCCUAUUUUUGAUGCUUGUAAGCUGAUGGGGGCUGAGGAAAUGGGUUUUGCUUGGGUAUGUAGAGGCACAAGCAGUGUGGAUAAGCUUGCAGAGAAAAAUUAGAAGUGAUUAUCCAUUAAAAGUGUUCAACAUUACCAUCUUGGCCUCGUUUACUUGCAUGUCAUUUAAAUGUGUAAAGAAACUUUAAUUUUCUUUCUUUUCUUUUACCUGUUCUGGUCUUCUUCAUGGACCCUAGUUCUUCAGUCUAGCAAAGAUAAUUCACACUUAACUAAUUGUGUUUCUUUCUCCUCGCUUGAACAUUGUUCUUUCACUUUAAGCAUUCAAAGUACUGUUUCUUAAAUUCAAACAUGCUUUGCAGUCACUUGGAGGGCUUGUUAAAAC
This 4121-nucleotide long non-coding RNA is filed under the name Marmota monax (woodchuck). Lineage: Eukaryota; Metazoa; Chordata; Mammalia; Rodentia; Sciuridae. The record is from RNAcentral.